CGCAGCCGCGGUAAUUCCAGCUCCAAUAGCGUAUAUUAAAGUUGUUGUGGUUAAAAAGCUCGUAGUUGAACCUUGGGCCUGGCUGGCCGGUCCGCCUCACCGCGUGUACUGGUCCGGCCGGGCCUUUCCCUCUGUGGAACCCCAUGCCCUUCACUGGGUGUGGCGGGGAAACAGGACUUUUACUUUGAAAAAUUAGAGUGCUCCAGGCAGGCCUAUGCUCGAAUACAUUAGCAUGGAAUAAUAGAAUAGGACGUGUGGUUCUAUUUUGUUGGUUUCUAGGACCGCCGUAAUGAUUAAUAGGGACAGUCGGGGGCAUCAGUAUUCAAUUGUCAGAGGUGAAAUUCUUGGAUUUAUUGAAGACUAACUACUGCGAAAGCACUUGCCAAGGAUGUUUUCAUUAAUCAGGAACGAAAGUUAGGGGAUCGAAGACGAUCAGAUACCGUCGUAGUCUUAACCAUAAACUAUGCCGACUAGGGAUCGGACGAUGUUAUUUUUGACUCGUUCGGCACCUUACGGGAAA
Molecule: unclassified non-coding RNA, 520 nt
Filed under: uncultured Paraglomus
Lineage: Eukaryota; Fungi; Glomeromycota; Glomeromycetes; Paraglomerales; Paraglomeraceae
Description: SSU rRNA
Rfam family: Eukaryotic small subunit ribosomal RNA
Source: RNAcentral